This 253-nucleotide ribosomal RNA is filed under the name uncultured bacterium. Its description in RNAcentral is "partial 16S ribosomal RNA". It matches the Rfam family "Bacterial small subunit ribosomal RNA", at positions 524 to 776 of the family's 1533-position model. The record is from RNAcentral.
UACGAACCGAGCGACUGUUGUUCGGAAUCACUGGGCUUAAAGGGUGCGUAGGCGGGCUGCCAAGUUUGAGGUGAAAUCCUCCGGCUCAACCGGGGAAGUGCCUUGAAUACUGGCGGUCUGGAGGGAGGUAGGGGCGUGCGGAACUAACGGUGGAGCGGUGAAAUGCGUUGAUAUCGUUAGGAACUCCGGUGGCGAAGGCGGCACGCUAGACCUCGUCUGACGCUGAGGCACGAAAGCCAGGGGAGCGAACGGG